Molecule: ribosomal RNA, 234 nt
Filed under: uncultured bacterium
Lineage: Bacteria
Description: partial 16S ribosomal RNA
Rfam family: Bacterial small subunit ribosomal RNA
Source: RNAcentral
CGGGACGGGGUGAGUAAUGUCUGGGAAACUGCCUGAUGGAGGGGGAUAACUACUGGAAACGGUAGCUAAUACCGCAUAACGUCGCAAGACCAAAGAGGGGACCGUUCGGGCCUCUUGCCAUCAGAUGUGCCCAGAUGGGAUUAGCUAGUAGGUGGGGUAAAGGCUCACCUAGGCGACGAUCCCUAGCUGGUCUGAGAGGAUGACCAGCCACACUGGAACUGAGACACGGUCCAG